ACGGAAGGCAGCAGUGGGGAAUCUUGCUCAAUGGGCGAAAGCCUGAAGCAGCAACGCCGCGUGCGGGAUGAAGGCCCUCGGGUUGUAAACCGCUUUCAGCAGGGAAGAAAUCAGACGGUACCUGCAGAAGAAGGUCCGGCUAACUACGUGCCAGCAGCCGCGGUAACACGUAGGGGCCAAGCGUUGUCCGGAUUCAUUGGGCGUAAAGAGCUCGUAGGCGGUUCAGUUAGUCGGGUGUGAAAUCUCCGGGCUCAACCCGGAGGGGCCACCCGAUACUGCUGUGACUCGAGUCCGGUAGGGGAGUGGGGAAUUCCUGGUGUAGCGGUGAAAUGCGCAGAUAUCAGGAGGAACACCGGUGGCGAAGGCGCCACUCUGGGCCGGUACUGACGCUGAGGAGCGAAAGCGUGGGUAGCAAACAGGAUUAGAUACCCUGGUA
RNAcentral lists this ribosomal RNA (436 nucleotides) under uncultured Acidimicrobiales bacterium. Its description in RNAcentral is "bacterial SSU rRNA". It matches the Rfam family "Bacterial small subunit ribosomal RNA", at positions 341 to 792 of the family's 1533-position model. The record is from RNAcentral. Lineage: Bacteria; Bacillati; Actinomycetota; Acidimicrobiia; Acidimicrobiales.